CUCGACCGUGGCGAUGGAUCCCGCCUGGACCGCCUCCGGUCCGAACCGCCCCGAUCCCGGGCUGAUGGUUCCUGACCAUUG
This 81-nucleotide non-coding RNA is filed under the name Streptomyces sp. RNAcentral's name for it is "Fluoride sequence". It matches the Rfam family "Fluoride riboswitch aptamer (crcB RNA motif)". Lineage: Bacteria; Bacillati; Actinomycetota; Actinomycetes; Kitasatosporales; Streptomycetaceae. The record is from RNAcentral.